Molecule: ribosomal RNA, 46 nt
Filed under: Xenostigmina zilleri
Lineage: Eukaryota; Fungi; Ascomycota; Dothideomycetes; Mycosphaerellales; Mycosphaerellaceae
Also listed under: 9 other names
Description: partial 28S ribosomal RNA
Source: RNAcentral
CUUGACCUCGGAUCAGGUAGGGAUACCCGCUGAACUUAAGCAUAUC